Molecule: ribosomal RNA, 250 nt
Filed under: uncultured prokaryote
Description: partial 16S ribosomal RNA
Rfam family: Bacterial small subunit ribosomal RNA
Source: RNAcentral
UACGGGGGGUGCAAGCGUUGUCCGGAAUCAUUGGGCGUAAAGCGUUCGUAGGCGGCACAGCAAGUCUGAUGUUAAAUCCCGGGGCUCAACUCCGGUCAGGCAUUGGAUACUGUUGAGCUAGAAUGUGGUAGAGUUUAAGGGAAUUCCUGGUGUAGCGGUGAAAUGCGCAGAUAUCAGGAGGAACACCGGUGGCGUAAGCGCUUAACUGGGCCAAAAUUGACGCUGAGGAACGAAAGCCGGGGGAGCAAAU